RNAcentral lists this ribosomal RNA (460 nucleotides) under uncultured bacterium. RNAcentral's name for it is "partial 16S ribosomal RNA". It matches the Rfam family "Bacterial small subunit ribosomal RNA", at positions 338 to 795 of the family's 1533-position model. The record is from RNAcentral.
CCUACGUGGGGCUGCAGUGAGGAAUAUUGGUCAAUGGACGAGAGUCUGAACCAGCCAAGUAGCGUGAAGGAUGACUGCCCUAUGGGUUGUAACCUUCUUGUAUAUGGGAAUAACAUGUUCCACGUGUGGGAUUUUGUAUGUAACAUAUGAAUAAGGAUCGGCUAACUCCGUGACAGCAGCCGCGGUAAUACGGAGGAUCCGAGCGUUAUCCGGAUUUAGUGGGUUUAAAGGGAGCGUAGGUGGAUUGUUAAGUCAGUUGUGGAAGUGUGCGGCUCAACCGUAAAAUUGCAGUUGAAACUGGCAGUCUUGAGUACAGUAGAGGUGGGCGGAAUUCGUGGUGUAGCGGUGAAAUGCUUAGAUAUCACGAAGAACUCCGAUUGCGAAGGCAGCUCACUGGACUGCAACUGACACGGAGGCUCGAAAGUGUGGGUAUCAAACAGGAUUAGAUACCCCAGUAGUC